This 532-nucleotide unclassified non-coding RNA is filed under the name Hevea brasiliensis (rubber tree). The record is from RNAcentral. Lineage: Eukaryota; Viridiplantae; Streptophyta; Magnoliopsida; Malpighiales; Euphorbiaceae.
GGGGGGGUGAGAGAAUCCAUCUAUGCAUAUGUAACAAUGUAACAAAAAUAAAUUUCUAAAAACAAAUAAAAGAGUAAUGGAUUAACACUAAUGAUGUUCCCUAAAACCAUGCAAACCACCAAAGAUAGAAGCCCAAGCUAAACCAUAUAACAAAGAAACUAAACAUUACCGAUGAAUUUAAAGUUGCAAAGCUGGCUGUUACAGCUCAUUCAUACUUCCUAAAUGAUGUAAAUUCAAGAAGUGCAUCCAAGUAGAAACAAAGCAAACACCAGUAGAUCUAAACUCCCAAAAUUGGUCAAUAAAUAAAAAUUUGUUUAUGCCCAUACAGUAAAGCAUCUAAAAUGGCAACAUGGAACAACAGAUAUAUAAGUUGAACAAACUAAGGCAAAAACAAAACUAAGGAAAAAGACUAAUAAAACCAAUAACAAAAAAUGAAACAGAACACUAUUUUCAUGCCAUCUCAAUACUACAAACCACCUUGCAAAUGCCUAUCCAAUUGAUAUAUAGCAAGCAUAAGUCAAAUGCAUAUCUU